UACGGAGGGUGCAAGCGUUUAUCCGGAUUUACUGGGUUUAAAGGGUGCGUAGGUGGGCAGGUAAGUCAGUGGUGAAAUCUCCGAGCUUAACUCGGAAACUGCCAUUGAUACUAUCUGUCUUGAAUUAUCUGGAGGUGAGCGGAAUAUGUCAUGUAGCGGUGAAAUGCUUAGAUAUGACAUAGAACACCAAUUGCGAAGGCAGCUCACUACGGAUAUAUUGACACUGAGGCACGAAAGCGUGGGGAUCAAACAGG
Molecule: ribosomal RNA, 254 nt
Filed under: uncultured bacterium
Lineage: Bacteria
Description: partial 16S ribosomal RNA
Rfam family: Bacterial small subunit ribosomal RNA
Source: RNAcentral